CACAACCCUAUAGACAGACAUAACCCUUUGUUUUUCAACAAUAUAGACGGCUGCUUUACAGAGUCACGUGAGGCACAUAGGCUCAUUAUACUAUGUAUUUCUAAGUUGGCAAUUUCUUCAUGCCAUAGGGGCAUAGGGUCAAUGAAGAUGCUUUGACAAUUGGCCCUUAAAAUAUGUUGCUCUUCUGGUAAAACAAAGUCAAGAAUUGCACCUUAGCUUAGCUGCCAGUAAUUUUAUCAGCUUUGCCAUUGAUGGAGUUAAUCUGGGUUUCAAUCACUGCCUGAACUCUGGAGGGACUCUGCAAAUAAAUUAAGGGGUCUUGGAAGAAUUUCAUCAUCAUAGAUAGCAGCUGUUAAGAUCAUUACAAUACCAUAAUGAAUAGGGUCCUUAGAACUAAUGUAUACAGCAAAUCUUUUCCCUAUUCAUUGGAUAUAUUUUAUUUAUUUA
Long non-coding RNA from Ipomoea nil (Japanese morning glory), 447 nucleotides. RefSeq lists it as uncharacterized. The transcript has 3 exons. The record is from RefSeq and is a predicted model, not a curated record. Lineage: Eukaryota; Viridiplantae; Streptophyta; Magnoliopsida; Solanales; Convolvulaceae.